RNAcentral lists this ribosomal RNA (440 nucleotides) under uncultured bacterium. RNAcentral's name for it is "partial 16S ribosomal RNA". It matches the Rfam family "Bacterial small subunit ribosomal RNA", at positions 338 to 795 of the family's 1533-position model. The record is from RNAcentral.
CCUACGGGAGGCAGCAGUGGGGAAUAUUGCACAAUGGGGGAAACCCUGAUGCAGCGACGCCGCGUGAGUGAAGAAGUAAUUCGUUAUGUAAAGCUCUAUCAGCAGGGAAGAAAAGGACGGUACGUGAGUAAGAAGCUCCGGCUAACUACGUGCCAGCAACCGCGGUAAUACGUAGGGGGCAAGCGUUAUCCGGAAUUACUGGGGGUAAAGGGAGCGUAGACGGCAGUGCAAGUCUGGAGUGAAAGGCGGGGGCUCAACCCCCGGACUGCUCUGGAAACUGUACGGCUGGAGUGCAGGAGAGGUAAGUGGAAUUCCUAGUGUAGCGGUGAAAUGCGUAGAUAUUAGGAGGAACACCAGUGGCGAAGGCGGCUUACUGGACUGUAACUGACGUUGAGGCUCGAAAGCGUGGGGAGCAAACAGGAUUAGAUACCCCAGUAGUC